GCCUGAUGAGCUCGAGAUUGCAACAGUUCUGUUUGAAAAGUGGUCAACUUGGUCAUUUAGAGGAAGUAAAGUCGUAACAAGGUUUCCGUAGGUGAACCUGCGGAAGGAUCAUUA
Molecule: ribosomal RNA, 114 nt
Filed under: uncultured Glomus
Lineage: Eukaryota; Fungi; Glomeromycota; Glomeromycetes; Glomerales; Glomeraceae
Description: partial 18S ribosomal RNA
Rfam family: Eukaryotic small subunit ribosomal RNA
Source: RNAcentral